AUUGAACGCUGGCGGCAGGCCUAACACAUGCAAGUCGAACGAGUGGCGGACGGGUGAGUAAUGUCUGGGAAACUGCCUGAUGGAGGGGGAUAACUACUGGAAAAGGUCGGUAAUACCGCAUACCCUCGGAUGUGCCUAGAUGGGAUUGGCUAGUGGGGGGGGUAAAGGCUCACCUGGGCGACGAGCCCUAGCUGGUCUGAGAGGAAGACCAGCCAAACUGGAACUGGGAAACGGUCCAGACUCCGACGGGAGGCAGAAGUGGGGAAUAUUGCACAAUGGGGGCAAGCCUGAUGCAGCAAUGCCGCUGGUAUGAAGAAGGCCUUCGGGUUGUAAAGUACUUUCAGCGGGGAGGCGGUACCCGCAGAAGAAGCACCGGCUAACUCCGUGCCAGCAGCCGCGGUAAUAC
This 406-nucleotide ribosomal RNA is filed under the name uncultured bacterium. Its description in RNAcentral is "partial 16S ribosomal RNA". It matches the Rfam family "Bacterial small subunit ribosomal RNA", at positions 29 to 526 of the family's 1533-position model. The record is from RNAcentral.